RNAcentral lists this unclassified non-coding RNA (302 nucleotides) under uncultured fungus. RNAcentral's name for it is "partial contains 5.8S ribosomal RNA, internal transcribed spacer 2, and large subunit ribosomal RNA". The stretch from base 1 to 52 matches the Rfam family "5.8S ribosomal RNA", at positions 103 to 154 of the family's 154-position model. The record is from RNAcentral. Lineage: Eukaryota; Fungi.
AACGCACCUUGCACCCUUUGGUAUUCCGAAGGGUAUGCCUGUUUGAGUGUCAUUAAAUUCAUCAAAUCAAUUGAGUUUUAUACUUGAACGAUUUGGAUUCUGAGGGUUUGUUGGCUCUAGUUAGUCGACUCCCUUUAAAAGCAUUAGUGGCUUGUCGAUCCCCAUUAAUUGGUGUGAUAGCUUUAUCUACAUCUAUAAUGGCAAGGUCAUACAAUGGCAAUAUGGCUGCUCUCGAACUGUCCAGUAAUGGACAAUUUGAACCAUUUGACCUCAAAUCAGGUAGGACUACCCGCUGAACUUAA